Molecule: long non-coding RNA, 1456 nt
Organism: Rhododendron vialii
Lineage: Eukaryota; Viridiplantae; Streptophyta; Magnoliopsida; Ericales; Ericaceae
Exons: 3
Source: RefSeq, a predicted model, not a curated record
CUCUCUCUCUCUCUCUCAGAACACGUUAUUUGGAAUAAUUAAAUUAAGGAAGUUAUACUAAUUGGAAUCCAUCCUAAUCUCCUUGAUUCUCUCUCUCUCAACACGUAAUUUGAAAUAAUUAAAUUAAAAAGCCAUGUCUUUGAUUAAGGAAACAAAACAUUCCGGGAAUUAGAAACUAAUUUCGAAGUACUAACUUUUCGGAAAUCUAUAAUUAAGGAAGUUCUCCCUCUCUCUCUCUCUCAGAACACGUUAUUUGGAAUAAUUAAAUUAAGGAAGUAUACUAAUUGGAAUCCAUCCUAAUCUCCUUGAUUAUCUCCAUCUCUCUCUCUCUCUCUCUCUCUCUGAACACGUUAUUUGGAAUAAUUAAAUUAAGGAAGUUAUACUAAUUGAAAUCCAUCAUAAUCUCCUUGAUUAUCUCCAUCUCUCUCCUCCCGGCCCCCUCAUUUCAGAACACGUUAUUUUUCCAAAAGAAACCAAAACCGGUGGCUAAAUUUUUGAUUAUCCUCUCACUCUCUCUCCUUCCUUCCUUCUAAUGUUCCUAUCUCCAUACAGUUGCUGUCCUUUUUCUUCCAGUGACUAUAAUUUCUUUUAGGGGAAGACCGGUCAAUCUUCCAAUUCCAUUGAAUGACCAAUCAAUUUUUGAUAGGAUGAAUUGUGAGAAUGUUAAGUGUUUGAUUAAAUGUAUCGACCAUAUGAGUACCAUUCGGCUAGGAAGUUUCUGAAAUUGAAAUUUAGCAAGGUUUCUGUCCAAUUGAAAUAUUGAAAUGUUUGAAUGAGAUGUUUGGGUAUCAUUUUUCAUUUCCUGUAACCAUGUAUGGAUCCUUUGAUUGUGAUUUUUUUAUGGUUUGGUCCUUACCCUUGCAUUAGGCAUCUUUUAAUCUCGGGAUUAGAAAAACUUAAAGGCAAUGACUAGGCAAAGGAAGACAACACAUGUGGACAAUGAAGAAGAAGAUUUACAGGUAAUUAUCUUCUUGCUUCAGAGUUGAAUCCGGUUGGAAAUUUCAAGAUCCUAAGCUAAAACAUGAGUGACUAUUCAUAAUCAAUGUUCAUUCUCGGGCACAAGGAUCACGAGCGGUAGUUUUCUUGGGUCUUCGGAGCAAACAGUAGCUAGCAGCUGGUGCUAGCUGGUUAUGUGAUGGUGAGGGAUUUGAUCAACAAAUGAGUUUCGACCUGAUAUCCCUCUAGAUUAAUGGAACCCAUUUAUGAAAGUUUUUCAAGCUUAUUUUUCCACAUAUUGUUUGAGUUUAGAUCUUGGGUGAAGGAUGAUGAAAUGGUAACAAAAGCCAUUUAAAAUUAUUUGUAUAGAAUGUCUUUGUUGCGAGUGCCAAAUUUUGUGGCCUCACUUUACACACGUACCUUUUGAAAAUACAUGUAGGUUCACUUCACAAUGUGUUAUAUUAUGUCUUUAGACAUAGACAUUUGAACAUAGUCAUUAAUGAGUGAAGAAAAAUACUAU